RNAcentral lists this transfer RNA (65 nucleotides) under Pelagomonas calceolata. The record is from RNAcentral. Lineage: Eukaryota; Pelagophyceae; Pelagomonadales; Pelagomonadaceae.
CUAUAUUGUUGUUGUAAUUUCAUAAUAAAUAGUGAAUUUAAGUUAAGUUGUUUUUUAAGCUAAAC